GUACACUAAAGCUAGCAUAAUCUACAAUACACAGUCACCGCUUUCUUUAAAUUCAAUGCUCACUUCUCACACAAACAGCCUUGUCCCAGCUCCACAUAACACAAUUAACCCAAAUGACAUUCUUUAACUGCUAGCUGACAUCUGGGAAUAUUCAUUUCAGAUUAUAGUAUUCCCUGGGAAUCAGAGAAAGAUAUCAGAAUACUAAAUAUG
Pelobates cultripes (western spadefoot toad) is the source of this 210-nucleotide non-coding RNA. The record is from the annotation of a GenBank genome assembly. NCBI's taxonomy places the organism in Eukaryota, Metazoa, Chordata, Amphibia, Anura, Pelobatidae.